This 450-nucleotide ribosomal RNA is filed under the name uncultured bacterium. Its description in RNAcentral is "partial 16S ribosomal RNA". It matches the Rfam family "Bacterial small subunit ribosomal RNA", at positions 354 to 796 of the family's 1533-position model. The record is from RNAcentral.
GUGGGGAAUCUUCCGCAAUGGACGAAAGUCUGACGGAGCAACGCCGCGUGAGUGAAGAAGGUUUUCGGAUCGUAAAGCUCUUUCGUUAGGGACGAACGUGCUCUUUGUGAAUAAUGAGGAGUAAUGACGGUACCUAAAUAAGAAGCCACGGCUAACUACGUGCCAGCAGCCGCGGUAAUACGUAGGUGGCAAGCGUUGUCCGGAAUUAUUGGGCGUAAAGCGCGCGCAGGCGGGAUAUCAAGUCUGUCUUAAAAGUGCGAGGCUCAACCUCGUGAGGGGACAGAAACUGGUAUUCUUGAGUGUCGGAGAGGAAAGUGGAAUUCCAAGUGUAGCGGCGAAAUGCGUAGAGAUUUGGAAGAACACCAGUGGCGAAGGCGACUUUCUGGACGAUGUCUGACGCUGAGGCGCGAAAGCUAGGGGAGCGAACGGGAUUAGAUACCCGUGUAGUCC